GGGAUAUGAUGUUGUGUCAAUUAGAGAAGCCUUUGUGAUAUAAUUUGAAUGUAAAAAAGAUAGGGAAUUUUGCUUACUGAAGUGAUUUCUUGAGAGCAGGAAGAACAAGAUGAGGAAAAUUAUCAGUCAACCAAAGCUUAGAGGUGAUAAAGAGUUCAUCUCUAGAUCCUAUGAGACCAAUUUCAAGAGCUCGUGCUAUGGCUUCUCCCAGAGCUUCCUCAGAACCAUAGUAUGAUGCAGUAUCAAAGUGUCUGUAACCUAAUUUGAUAGCUUCUAAUACUGCACUUUUUGUGAUUUCACCACUGCUCUUGUUACUGUUAGCUGCAGUACCAAAUGCUAUCACUGGCAUUUUGCAUUGGUUGGAGGAGGAUUUGAGCACAACACUCGGGAUUUUGGUUCUAGUAGACAUGGUUUAUCAAUUAUCACACACACAACUCCUUACACAAUAUGCUUUAGUUGGAUAUAUGCUGUUGGAGAACAAGGGUAUUUUGCAUCUCUUUUAUAGAUAGAGGGGAAUUCUUCUAAAUCCAGCAUAUUAAUAUUUAUUUUCGGACCAAUAAUUCAGGAUUAAAAAUUAAUUAUUAGUUAUAUAAUCAUUUUUUUUAAUUUUAUUUAUUUAAAUAUGAUUUAAUAACUCAUAUUAAUUGUUCUCAAUUUUUAUAAUAAUAAUAUAUAUUAUAUAUAUUGAAGGACAAUUCUAUUGAAUUAAAAAAUGUAAAAAGUUAUAUAAAUUCUAUACAUCUUUAUUUAUUAUGGAAUCCUUUGUUACGUUGAAUAUGGACAUAUCAUUGAAACUCUCAAUGAAGCGCGUGGCUUGAGUCCCACCUUAUGAUUUGUUCAUACAUCUUAGAUAAGACAUUUAAUAUAGUUUAAAACAUUAUUGUUAUCAUUAUCAUCAAUAUAACCUUUCAUUAUGCGAAGGCGUUUGCAUGAUUGAACGAACAUUAUGUGAAAUUGAGUAUUGAUUAAUGAGUGUAAAAUGUGUGUAAUGAUGAUGUAAAGAUUUAUAUACAGUCAGUGUAUUCCAUUAUAAAAUAAAAUAUUAAAUACCCAUUUUAGUUUAUUAUGUUUUUCGAUUUUAUAAAUAUUAAAUACCCAUUUCAGUCAAGGUGUAUCAAGACUGUAAUAUUUCAGUCAAGGUGCAUGCACAAUAAAUUUGCCCUCUUUUUUCAUUGAAUUAUUACAUUACUAAUAAUAAAAUUGAGAAACUAUAUUUUCUAAUCAAUAAAAAGAGUUCUAUGUGUUUAUGGGGAUAUGAUGUUGUGUCAAUUAGAGAAGCCUUUGUGAUAUAAUUUGAAUGUAAAAAAGAUAGGGAAUUUUGCUUACUGAAGUGAUUUCUUGAGAGCAGGAAGAACAAGAUGAGGAAAAUUAUCAGUCAACCAAAGCUUAGAGGUGAUAAAGAGUUCAUCUCUAGAUCCUAUGAGACCAAUUUCAAGAGCUCGUGCUAUGGCUUCUCCCAGAGCUUCCUCAGAACCAUAGUAUGAUGCAGUAUCAAAGUGUCUGUAACCUAAUUUGAUAGCUUCUAAUACUGCA
RNAcentral lists this long non-coding RNA (1533 nucleotides) under Lupinus angustifolius (narrow-leaved blue lupine). RNAcentral's name for it is "long non-coding RNA (LANG_LNC002889)". Lineage: Eukaryota; Viridiplantae; Streptophyta; Magnoliopsida; Fabales; Fabaceae. The record is from RNAcentral.